GGAUUAGAUACCCUGGUAGUCCACGCCGUAAACGAUGUUCACUAGGUGCUGUGGGAGUUGACCCCUGCGGUGCCGUAGCUAACGCAUUAAGUGAACCGCCUGGGGAGUACGGCCGCAAGGUUAAAACUCAAAGGAAUUGACGGGGGCCCGCACAAGCGGUGGAGUAUGUGGUUUAAUUCGACGCAACGCGAAGAACCUUACCUGGGUUUGACAUCUGAGGAAUCCGCUAGAGACAGUGGAGUGCCCUUCGGGGAACCUCAAGACAGGUGCUGCAUGGCUGUCGUCAGCUCGUGCCG
This 296-nucleotide ribosomal RNA is filed under the name uncultured bacterium. Its description in RNAcentral is "partial 16S ribosomal RNA". It matches the Rfam family "Bacterial small subunit ribosomal RNA", at positions 775 to 1067 of the family's 1533-position model. The record is from RNAcentral.